UUGAACGCUGGCGGCAUGCUUUACACAUGCAAGUCGAACGGCAGCGGGGGCUUCGGCCUGCCGGCGAGUGGCGAACGGGUGAGUAAUACAUCGGAACGUGCCCGAUCGUGGGGGAUAACGGAGCGAAAGCUUUGCUAAUACCGCAUACGAUCUACGGAUGAAAGCAGGGGACCCUCGGGCCUUGCGCGAACGGAGCGGCCGAUGGCAGAUUAGGUAGUUGGUGGGAUAAAAGCUUACCAAGCCGACGAUCUGUAGCUGGUCUGAGAGGAUGAUCACCCACACUGGGACUGAGACACGGCCCAGACUCCUACGGGAGGCAGCAGUGGGGAAUUUUGGACAAUGGGCGCAAGCCUGAUCCAGCCAUGCCGCGUGAGUGAAGAAGGCCUUCGGAUUGUAAAGCUCUUUCAGACGGAAAGAAAUCGGGCGCGUGAAUAGCGUGCCUGGAUGACGGUACUGUCAGAAGAAGUACCGGCUAACUACGU
RNAcentral lists this ribosomal RNA (482 nucleotides) under uncultured bacterium. RNAcentral's name for it is "partial 16S ribosomal RNA". It matches the Rfam family "Bacterial small subunit ribosomal RNA", at positions 30 to 506 of the family's 1533-position model. The record is from RNAcentral.